UCUCCUGCUUUUCUCCACUUCAGGUCUUCAAGGCCUGCAAAGGAAUAUUUGAGGGAGAACAGGAGAAAUCUGCUUCAUGCAAAAACAUCUCCACGUUUGAAUUUCUCUCACCUAAACUCUUUAAGGCCUGCAUAGACGAUAUCUGAGGUGGAAAAGGAGGAAUGCGCUUCAUGCCAAAAGAAAAUCCCAUUUAUUUCUCUACCCAUGGCCCUUAAGGCCUGUAAAGAGAACAUCUGAGGAGUUAAAGGAGACAUGACCCAGAUGCAGAUUUCCUCUGGUUGUUGGGGGUUUUUUUUAACCUCACCCUUAACUUAAAGUCCUUGUGCUUUCUGACAGAGAAAACACAACAUACUUGGACUGAAAAGGGGAGAUUUGCUCUCUGCAAAAUUUUCCCCUUGAUCUUGCCACCUCAGGCCCUCCCCCUAAGCCUCUGCGUUAGGAGAGAAAUGAAAAUGUUUGAGACAAAAGAAAAAGGUAAAACUUGCUUCAUGCAAACAAACCUCCUGCUUAUUACACCACCUCUGGCCUUCACGGCCCCUUCAUUUAGAGUUGAGAUGAAGAAGGAGGCAUGUGCUACGUGCCAGUAAAUCUGCUGCUUAUUUCUCCACCUUAGGUCUUUAAGGCCUUUUAUUUUAUAGUGGAGAUAGACUUAGCCGGAGUGCCAGACAGAGAGAAGAGAAUCCCUACACCGUCUAACUGGCUCCAUGCCAAAAUCUCGCUGUGCACCCUCCCGCGCUCCCUUCAGGCUCCACGCCUGGUCUUUAUGGCUUGGGCUGUUGGAGAGAGAGCAAAGAGGUAGGAAUGGGGUGAAGAGCUUCAUGCUAAUUCCCCCACCCCCCACCCCACCCUAAUCCCUGAAAGGGGUUUCCCCUUUAUCCUUCCACUCUGCCUGCUCUGCCACCUCAACUUUGGACAAAGUCACCAAACCACUCCUUGCCGUGGAACCAGAUCCGGCAUCCUAAGAGCCGAGAUAGUCUGAGUGUGCAAAUGAUGGAGAAAGGAAUGGGGCCAGCCGGCUCGACUCGAGAAAGGCUCCAUUUCCGCCGUACGACCGAGGAGGAAGGAAAAUCGGAUGACGGUUGGGUUUGGAGAAAAUCCGGCCACUGGUUAAGAGGAAACCGCUCUGGACCCGAGGCUCGGUCUCGAGCCCGGGUCCAGGCUACUGGAGGGCGAUCAAAGAAAAUGUGAGGGGGAGGAGGGAUUUCUGCCUCAUGCCAAAUUCCUGAAAAACUUUACUUCAUGUCAGACGGCCUCUCCUCCAGGGCCCUCCUGCCUUCAAAACCUGAAAAGACACUAUUUGAGUCAAAAAAGGCCUCGUAGGCAACCUGGGAUAUAUCUCCUGGGAGCCCUCUGGUUUUCAGAGCGGUUAGAGCUGCUCCAUUUGGACCAUUUCGGCUCAUUUUCCACGGGCAGAAAAUGUGUCCAGUUCUAGAGGGAAAUACCUUUCACAAGUCUAUAGUGUUUUUAUGUCAGGAUUACAAUUUCAAACCUGGUAUGACGAAAGCACAACCGAGAUAACCCCCUGUCCCUCUCUAAAUCCUGGUUGACCAACUCAAUGUUCAAUGGAAUGUUAUUUCUCUCUCAUUCAGGAGAUAGAAAACAACAAAAAGAUUCCUGCAAUCCACCACAGCAGCCUUUAAAAAGUCAAUAAAAUAGCUAAAUAAAAUCAAAAUAAAUAUAAAACGCAAGGAGGAUCAGCUCAGUACGAUACAAUAAAAUAGUUUAAAAUAAAAUUUAAUACUAAAAUCACUGACAUAUAAAAAAGUUGACAUAUAAAAAUGCCCCACACUCAUUCCCUUGGACGUUGACGUAUGGGAAAUCUUAGGAUUAAAAAAGAGAAAAAUUCCGUGUAUUCGAAGACCCAAAACGGGGAGGUUUAUCUCUGCCUUUUUUCUCUGCCUUUUCUAUCGCGAUCAAAUGAAUGGCUUUAUGAGCGCCAACUGACUAGAGCACUAUAGACCCACCCAAAACUUCAAGGGAAACUUCAGCCCAGGUUCAAGGCGCUUUGACUUCAUACACUUGGUUUUCGAAUGCCUGUCACAUUGAGUGUUUUGUGCUCAAGGUUUUGAAUCUGUGCAGAUCUGGGGGGCUUCUACUCUGGGCUGAAUCUCCCCUGUCUGGCUGUUGGUAAGCACCUGGAGGAGCAGAGGUAAGUGCGCGAUCGGACGGUAGGAACGUACUCAUUUCCGUGAAGGGGGGCGGUUCAGGGGAUAUCCUCAGGGUGGCCCUGGGCUCUGGCAAUGCUUUUUUCCUGAAGGUCAGUGCAUCUGCACCUGCCUUAACAUUUCCUCUGCAACAUCUGCUGGUAGGAUUUUGUUGCCCAGGUAAAGCGUUCCCAGAUCCAGGGGGGCGGAAAUGAGGCGAAGGUGCCGCGGACCCAGAAGGAGAAAACAGCCCGCACGACUGCGACGUCCGUCGGAGACACGGCCGCUGUCCCCGCGGCCCUGUAUUGCAGCAGGGGGCUAGCGGGGGCAGCCCGGUGAAAGGGGACCGGUGGGGGUUGGGGAUGGGGAGGAGGGUGCUGACAGACUAGGCUGGAGGAGGUGGGGAUGGAGGGGCCCAACUAAUCCCACUGCAGCACUGCCACUAGGUGCCCCCUGAUCCUCAGUGGGAGGCCCACUGCAGGGGGGACGGUGGCAGUGCCGGGGGAGGGAGCAGCAGGGAAGAGGGUGUGGCUGGGGACCCCUUCCCUAUGAUCUUUUCCCGUCUGCCUUCCCUCCCUUUUUUCCAGCUCCUUCCAUUUCUCCUCCCUAACCUUUCCUCCCUAAAGACAAAGAGUGAAAAAUGUUGUUUCAACAGCCCACCCCCCACCAUUCGAGGACCACGGAUCUGCAGCCAAGCCAGCCCUGCCUUCUCCCUGGACGCUCAGCAGCCGGAGGGAAACAGUCCUGAAGCGCUCCUGACUUCACGCCACCGGACCCGGACCCGGACGCGGACGUGGACCGGACCCAGACCCGGACCCAGACCCGGAACUACACCAGCGCAGACCACCCAGCCCCACCUCACCCCAACGCCCUCCACCAGCCCAGACCACCCAGCCCCACGCCCAACCCCCACCAGUCCCGACCCAAGCAAGCCUCAGAAUGUCUUCUGGGGCUUGGGGUUGUCCCUGACCCCCACUGGAUCCACCCCUGCCCCUUCCAGCUCCUUCAGAGCUAGCCAAGAGGAGCAGAAACCGGCAGAGGAGACGAGAACAACUUGCUGCUGCUGCUGCUGCCACCACCACCUGCGGGUCCGAGGAGUUGCACCUGGGCCUACUUUACUCUGGCAGAAACUCUGAUUGCUCUUCACCCAUCAAGCCUUAUCCCUGUCUUUUCAAGUACCCCCACUUGCACUCUGAGCUCCUUCCAAAAUUUUGGGACCUAUGGAAUGGCCAUAAAUAAUGCAAUCCUUGCUCAUGUUGUGGAAACGGUCGUGGUACCCCUUUGCCUUAUGUUACACUUGUGCCCAGGAAAGAAAACCUGUUCUUCCCCAAAACACUGUUCAUCAGUAAAACUUGUUAAAACCCCA
This is a long non-coding RNA of Ornithorhynchus anatinus (platypus), 3510 nucleotides long. RefSeq lists it as uncharacterized. The record is from RefSeq and is a predicted model, not a curated record. Lineage: Eukaryota; Metazoa; Chordata; Mammalia; Monotremata; Ornithorhynchidae. The transcript has 3 exons.